GAUGAACGCUGGCGGCGUGCCUAAUACAUGCAAGUCGAGCGAACGGACGAGAAGCUUGCUUUUCUGAUGUUAGCGGCGGACGGGUGAGUAACACGUGGAUAACCUACCUAUAAGACUGGGAUAACUUCGGGAAACCGGAGCUAAUACCGGAUAAUAUUUUGAACCGCAUGGUUCAAAAGUGAAAGACGGUCUUGCUGUCACUUAUAGAUGGAUCCGCGCUGCAUUAGCUAGUUGGUAAGGUAACGGCUUACCAAGGCAACGAUGCAUAGCCGACCUGAGAGGGUGAUCGGCCACACUGGAACUGAGACACGGUCCAGACUCCUACGGGAGGCAACAGUAGGGAAUCUUCCGCAAUGGGCGAAAGCCUGACGGAGCAACGCCGCGUGAGUGAUGAAGGUCUUCGGAUCGUAAAACUCUGUUAUUAGGGAAGAACAUAUGUGUAAGUAACUGUGCACAUCUUGACGGUACCUAAUCAGAAAGCCACGGCUAACUACAUG
RNAcentral lists this ribosomal RNA (497 nucleotides) under uncultured bacterium. RNAcentral's name for it is "partial 16S ribosomal RNA". It matches the Rfam family "Bacterial small subunit ribosomal RNA", at positions 28 to 507 of the family's 1533-position model. The record is from RNAcentral.